This 458-nucleotide unclassified non-coding RNA is filed under the name Priapulus caudatus. RNAcentral's name for it is "calmodulin-like, transcript variant X2". The record is from RNAcentral. Lineage: Eukaryota; Metazoa; Priapulida; Priapulimorpha; Priapulimorphida; Priapulidae.
UGAAGGCCAGGAUGUGACGACAUGACCAUCGCCGAGAUGGUGAAAAGCGCCGACGCCGACGGAGACGGCAACAUCGACUACGAAGAAUUCGUCAAGCUGGCUUCCGCCAAGCGGUUUUAAGCGUGAUGUGUGCUGCUUACGUCAUCGUGCGCGCGCAUGCGCACAGAAGAGGAACAAUGAAGAUGAAGAGAACGGUCGAUCGUUGGAGCUUUUGUUUAUUAUUACACUGACGAGCUAGGGUUAACGCCGCAGUCGGUGGCCAGGUGGCGCUGCUAGCUCGUCUGGUCUGAAUGUACUGCCAUCUUAUUUAUAUGCUGUUUACAUAUGUACAUAGAAUCACGAUUACAUACGUUACCUUUACAGAUAUGAGAUCCUUGUAUGAAUAUUUUGUGUGAAUAUUAUGUUACGGAUUGGUGCUGGUCAUAUAGUAAUAAAAUUCAUUAUAUUGAAGCAACAAA